UUAAGCGACUAAGCGUACACGGUGGAUGCCCUGGCAGUCAGAGGCGAUGAAGGACGUGCUAAUCUGCGAUAAGCGUCGGUAAGGUGAUAUGAACCGUUAUAACCGGCGAUUUCCGAAUGGGGAAACCCAGUGUGAUUCGUCACACUAUCAUUAACUGAAUCCAUAGGUUAAUGAGGCGAACCGGGGGAACUGAAACAUCUAAGUACCCCGAGGAAAAGAAAUCAACCGAGAUUCCCCCAGUAGCGGCGAGCGAACGGGGAGGAGCCCAGAGCCUGAAUCAGUGUGUGUGUUAGUGGAAGCGUCUGGAAAGGCGCGCGAUACAGGGUGACAGCCCCGUACACAAAAAUGCACAUGCUGUGAGCUCGAUGAGUAGGGCGGGACACGUGGUAUCCUGUCUGAAUAUGGGGGGACCAUCCUCCAAGGCUAAAUACUCCUGACUGACCGAUAGUGAACCAGUACCGUGAGGGAAAGGCGAAAAGAACCCCGGCGAGGGGAGUGAAAAAGAACCUGAAACCGUGUACGUACAAGCAGUGGGAGCCUCUUUAUGGGGUGACUGCGUACCUUUUGUAUAAUGGGUCAGCGACUUAUAUUCUGUAGCAAGGUUAACCGAAUAGGGGAGCCGAAGGGAAACCGAGUCUUAACUGGGCGUUAAGUUGCAGGGUAUAGACCCGAAACCCGGUGAUCUAGCCAUGGGCAGGUUGAAGGUUGGGUAACACUAACUGGAGGACCGAACCGACUAAUGUUGAAAAAUUAGCGGAUGACUUGUGGCUGGGGGUGAAAGGCCAAUCAAACCGGGAGAUAGCUGGUUCUCCCCGAAAGCUAUUUAGGUAGCGCCUCGUGAACUCAUCUCCGGGGGUAGAGCACUGUUUCGGCAAGGGGGUCAUCCCGACUUACCAACCCGAUGCAAACUGCGAAUACCGGAGAAUGUUAUCACGGGAGACACACGGCGGGUGCUAACGUCCGUCGUGAAGAGGGAAACAACCCAGACCGCCAGCUAAGGUCCCAAAGUCAUGGUUAAGUGGGAAACGAUGUGGGAAGGCCCAGACAGCCAGGAUGUUGGCUUAGAAGCAGCCAUCAUUUAAAGAAAGCGUAAUAGCUCACUGGUCGAGUCGGCCUGCGCGGAAGAUGUAACGGGGCUAAACCAUGCACCGAAGCUGCGGCAGCGACGCUUAUGCGUUGUUGGGUAGGGGAGCGUUCUGUAAGCCUGCGAAGGUGUACUGUGAGGUAUGCUGGAGGUAUCAGAAGUGCGAAUGCUGACAUAAGUAACGAUAAAGCGGGUGAAAAGCCCGCUCGCCGGAAGACCAAGGGUUCCUGUCCAACGUUAAUCGGGGCAGGGUGAGUCGACCCCUAAGGCGAGGCCGAAAGGCGUAGUCGAUGGGAAACAGGUUAAUAUUCCUGUACUUGGUGUUACUGCGAAGGGGGGACGGAGAAGGCUAUGUUGGCCGGGCGACGGUUGUCCCGGUUUAAGCGUGUAGGCUGGUUUUCCAGGCAAAUCCGGAAAAUCAAGGCUGAGGCGUGAUGACGAGGCACUACGGUGCUGAAGCAACAAAUGCCCUGCUUCCAGGAAAAGCCUCUAAGCAUCAGGUAACAUCAAAUCGUACCCCAAACCGACACAGGUGGUCAGGUAGAGAAUACCAAGGCGCUUGAGAGAACUCGGGUGAAGGAACUAGGCAAAAUGGUGCCGUAACUUCGGGAGAAGGCACGCUGAUACGUAGGUGAAGUCCCUUGCGGAUGGAGCUGAAAUCAGUCGAAGAUACCAGCUGGCUGCAACUGUUUAUUAAAAACACAGCACUGUGCAAACACGAAAGUGGACGUAUACGGUGUGACGCCUGCCCGGUGCCGGAAGGUUAAUUGAUGGGGUUAGCGGUAACGCGAAGCUCUUGAUCGAAGCCCCGGUAAACGGCGGCCGUAACUAUAACGGUCCUAAGGUAGCGAAAUUCCUUGUCGGGUAAGUUCCGACCUGCACGAAUGGCGUAAUGAUGGCCAGGCUGUCUCCACCCGAGACUCAGUGAAAUUGAACUCGCUGUGAAGAUGCAGUGUACCCGCGGCAAGACGGAAAGACCCCGUGAACCUUUACUAUAGCUUGACACUGAACAUUGAGCCUUGAUGUGUAGGAUAGGUGGGAGGCUUUGAAGUGUGGACGCCAGUCUGCAUGGAGCCGACCUUGAAAUACCACCCUUUAAUGUUUGAUGUUCUAACGUUGGCCCCUAAUCGGGGUUGCGGACAGUGUCUGGUGGGUAGUUUGACUGGGGCGGUCUCCUCCUAAAGAGUAACGGAGGAGCACGAAGGUUGGCUAAUCCUGGUCGGACAUCAGGAGGUUAGUGCAAUGGCAUAAGCCAGCUUGACUGCGAGCGUGACGGCGCGAGCAGGUGCGAAAGCAGGUCAUAGUGAUCCGGUGGUUCUGAAUGGAAGGGCCAUCGCUCAACGGAUAAAAGGUACUCCGGGGAUAACAGGCUGAUACCGCCCAAGAGUUCAUAUCGACGGCGGUGUUUGGCACCUCGAUGUCGGCUCAUCACAUCCUGGGGCUGAAGUAGGUCCCAAGGGUAUGGCUGUUCGCCAUUUAAAGUGGUACGCGAGCUGGGUUUAGAACGUCGUGAGACAGUUCGGUCCCUAUCUGCCGUGGGCGCUGGAGAACUGAGGGGGGCUGCUCCUAGUACGAGAGGACCGGAGUGGACGCAUCACUGGUGUUCGGGUUGUCAUGCCAAUGGCACUGCCCGGUAGCUAAAUGCGGAAGAGAUAAGUGCUGAAAGCAUCUAAGCACGAAACUUGCCCCGAGAUGAGUUCUCCCUGACUCCUUGAGAGUCCUGAAGGAACGUUGAAGACGACGACGUUGAUAGGCCGGGUGUGUAAGCGCAGCGAUGCGUUGAGCUAACCGGUACUAAUGAACCGUGAGGCUUAACCU
This 2902-nucleotide ribosomal RNA is filed under the name Escherichia coli. Its description in RNAcentral is "23S ribosomal RNA". It matches the Rfam family "Bacterial large subunit ribosomal RNA". The record is from RNAcentral. Lineage: Bacteria; Pseudomonadati; Pseudomonadota; Gammaproteobacteria; Enterobacterales; Enterobacteriaceae.